This 207-nucleotide unclassified non-coding RNA is filed under the name Hevea brasiliensis (rubber tree). Lineage: Eukaryota; Viridiplantae; Streptophyta; Magnoliopsida; Malpighiales; Euphorbiaceae. The record is from RNAcentral.
GUUUACAGCCUAACAUGCUAGUUUCCUCUAGGAGAUCCAUUAUGUACUUCCUUUCAAAAAUGAAGAUUCCUUUGUCUGAUCUAACCACCUUUAUUCCAAUGAAAUACUUUAAUUUACCCAAGUCUUCAGUCUCAAAUACAUGGCCAAGAGCUCUCUUAAAGUGGCAAUCUCUUCCUCGUCACGCCUGUCACAACUAUAUCAUCAACA